UGCAUUUGUAAAAUAGUUUGAAUUGUUCCUGUCAAUUUCAACUUUCGGAGGAGCAUAUCCUCUUGGUGUAA
RNAcentral lists this transfer RNA (71 nucleotides) under Acetivibrio saccincola. RNAcentral describes it as "Hungateiclostridium saccincola tRNA-Arg". The record is from RNAcentral. Lineage: Bacteria; Bacillati; Bacillota; Clostridia; Acetivibrionales; Acetivibrionaceae.